UGUGGCUGCGUGACCGGUCUACCACCGGGAUGUUCAUAACCCUUUGUUGUCCGACUCUGUUGCCUCCGGGGCGACCCUGCCUUCGGGCGGGGGCUCCGGGUGGACACUUCAAACUCUUGCGUAACUUUGCAGUCUGAGUAAACUUAAUUAAUAAAUUAAAACUUUUAACAACGGAUCUCUUGGUUCUGGCAUCGAUGAAGAACGCAGCGAAAUGCGAUAAGUAAUGUGAAUUGCAGAAUUCAGUGAAUCAUCGAAUCUUUGAACGCACAUUGCGCCCCCUGGUAUUCCGGGGGGCAUGCCUGUUCGAGCGUCAUUUCACCACUCAAGCCUCGCUUGGUAUUGGGCAACGCGGUCCGCCGCGUGCCUCAAAUCGACCGGCUGGGUCUUCUGUCCCCUAAGCGUUGUGGAAACUAUUCGCUAAAGGGUGUUCGGGAGGCUACGCCGUAAAACAACCCCAUUUCUAAGGUUGACCUCGGAUCAGGUAGGGAUACCCGCUGAACUUAAGCAUAUCAAGGCCCGGAGGGAAAA
This 528-nucleotide ribosomal RNA is filed under the name Cladosporium uredinicola. RNAcentral's name for it is "eukaryotic LSU rRNA". The stretch from base 160 to 313 matches the Rfam family "5.8S ribosomal RNA". The record is from RNAcentral. Lineage: Eukaryota; Fungi; Ascomycota; Dothideomycetes; Cladosporiales; Cladosporiaceae.